Molecule: ribosomal RNA, 434 nt
Filed under: uncultured archaeon
Lineage: Archaea
Description: bacterial SSU rRNA
Rfam family: Archaeal small subunit ribosomal RNA
Source: RNAcentral
GGACCUGACUGCUAUCGGAUUGCUACUAAGCCAUGCGAGUCAUUGUAGCAAUACAAGGCAUACGGCUCAGUAACGCGUAGUCAACCUAACCUAUGGACGGGAAUAACCUCAGGAAACUGAGAAUAAUGCCCGAUAGAACAUUAUGCCUGGAAUGGUUUAUGUUCCAAAUGAUUUAUCGCCGUAGGAUGGGACUGCGGCCUAUCAGUUUGUUGGUGAGGUAAUGGCCCACCAAGACUAUUACAGGUACGGGCUCUGAGAGGAGUAGCCCGGAGAUGGGUACUGAGACACGGACCCAGGCCCUAUGGGGCGCAGCAGGCGAGAAAACUUUGCAAUGUGCGAAAGCACGACAAGGUUAAUCCGAGUGGUUUCUGCUAAAGAAACCUUUUGUCAGUCCUAGAAACACUGAUGAAUAAGGGGUGGGCAAGUUCUGGUGU